UUGCAGGGCUGCAGAGAGGGAGCUAUUUCCCUCCCAUCUCUGGUUCUUGUGUCUUGUGGGGCUUUGCUGAAAGGGGAGUGAGCAGACGUGUCUCAGGGUCAUACCCUGGUGACAGGGAGGCACUGGGAAGAUGGGUCGGUGGGUGCUUCAGUGGGGGCUUACUUUGAAACUGUGUUCUCAUUUAGGGGCAGGGCUGAAUGAGGGGCUUUGGGAGGAGUCAUUAGAGAUUAAGUGUCAUUUAAGCCCUCCCUGUGGCUUCACUGGCACUUCCUCUCUGGGUUGCAACAAGGGCAUGGGAAGACUCCUCAGAGAAGAAGCUGAAUCUGAAGCCCAGGAUCGGCUUUGAUUCUAAUGGGGCUCAGGCCAAGAGAAGCCGGGUGCAGAUCUGUUUUUGUCCUUGAAGAGAGAAGACAGACAACUUAUUAAGAUGUCCUGGAGAGAUUUGAAUCUAUGGGAGGUGAGAACCUGGUCUGAUGAGAAUGUUCUCUCAGUGGCAGCAAAUACAGACAUUCUGGAGGAGCUGAGGCCACAUUUUGGAUCAUGAAGUUCCCAAAUCCAUUAGACAAUAUUCCAGAGCUAUCAUCAGUCUUUACUUCUGCGUCAAAGUCAUUCUACAAACGUGAAAAGCCCGCUUCUCUGAUCUUUUCUUUUUGAGACUCCUAAAAUGCAAAAAGUUGCUCUUCAUUUAUUUUUUCUUGGACAAGUCUUUUAGCUGCUUGUCCUACUCAAAUAAUAAUGAUAACAACAACAAUAAUAACAAUAAAAGC
Molecule: long non-coding RNA, 767 nt
Organism: Panthera uncia (snow leopard)
Lineage: Eukaryota; Metazoa; Chordata; Mammalia; Carnivora; Felidae
Exons: 3
Source: RefSeq, a predicted model, not a curated record